This 1348-nucleotide ribosomal RNA is filed under the name Phyllophorella liuwutiensis. Its description in RNAcentral is "16S ribosomal RNA". It matches the Rfam family "Bacterial large subunit ribosomal RNA", at positions 440 to 2765 of the family's 2925-position model. The record is from RNAcentral. Lineage: Eukaryota; Metazoa; Echinodermata; Holothuroidea; Dendrochirotida; Phyllophoridae.
AUAUAAAACUUUAAAAAAUACUCCACAUCAUUUUUAUAAUUAAUUAUCCUACAAAACUUAUAAAAAUAGUACUCUAAAGGAAAACUGAAAUAAAAUGAAAAAUAAAGAGAAAAAAGGAAAGAAUUGUACCUUUAGUAUUAUGGUUUUACAAGAUUACCUGAAAAAUUAUUCUUCACCCGAAAUUUAGAGAGCUAACCUUAUUCUUCUUUUUAGAAGAAACACCUCUACUGUUGCAAGAGUAGAAAAAAAGAAAAGGUUUGAAGUGACAUGCUUACCGAUCUAAAUGAUAGCUGGUUUUCAAAGAAAAAAGUCUUAGCUUCCUUACCUUAAAAUCCUACUUUCUUAUAGAAAAUAUUUAUUAAAGGGAAAGGAGAGGGAAGAAGAUAAGUUCUUCCCUCUAAAAGGAAACAACCUGAAAUACAGGAAAAUUAUUAAAGAAUAAACCUUUAGUAGACCUAAAAGCGGCCACCAAAAGAAAGCGUUACAGCUCAACCCUUUAUUCUAAAAAUUUAUUAAAACUAUUAACCUUAUUUUUAGAUAUUUGAAAAUAAUAAUGUAAAUACUAGUAAAACAGUUAUUAAUGGGAAACAUAAACAAAAACCAAGAAAAAGGAAAACCCAAGACUUUUAAAAAGUUCAAUCAACCCAGACAAUAUCUCAUAAUAAAAAAGGCGAGAAGGAACUAGGCAAAAAAGAAAAUGACUGUUUACCAAAAACAUAGCUCCUUGAAUAUAUAAGGAGUAAAGCCUGCCCAGUGGAAAUUCUUAACGGCCGCGGUAUCCUGACCGUGCAAAGGUAGCAUAAUCAUUUGUCUCUUAAUUGGGGACUGGAAUGAACGGCACCACAUUUUCUAUCUGUCUCCUCCCCUUUUCUUUUAAACUUCUAUUACCGUGAAGAAGCGUUAAUACCUCAGAAAGACGAGAAGACCCUGUCGAGCUUAAGCUCAAAUGAAAAUAAUUCUCCUUAAGAAAAAAUCUUUCAUUUAUAGCUUUGGUUGGGGCAACCAUGGAGAACAAACAUCCUCCAGUAAAAAUUACUGAUAACUAAUCUCUUUUUAAAAAAUUAAGAACCAAAAAAUUGGAAAUCGGAAAUAGUUACCGCAGGGAUAACAGCGUUAUCUUCUUUAAGAGCUCUCAUUGACAAGAAGGAUUGCGACCUCGAUGUUGGAUUGGGGUAACCAAAGGGUGCAGCAGCUCUUUAAGGUUGGACUGUUCGUCCACUAAUCCCCCACAUGAUCUGAGUUCAGACCGACGUAAGUCAGGUCAGCUUCUAUCUUCUUUUUAUACCUUCUUUAGUACGAAAGGACCAAGAAGAAUUUUCCAAUAAAUUUCUUUAAGAAAAAGACAAAU